CGCCGUGCCCGUUGGAUGUUCAGUUUCUAUCUAUGAACAAGUAUGCGUCACUUUUUCUUUUUGUUUGACCAAACUCAAGUCCCCUUUCUAAAACUGCAGCCAAGCAGUACUUGCUACUGGAAUAAUCCCAUGAAUGAAUUCUUUGUUGUGGUCAACUCUUUCUUGUCUCUCUACUAGGAUUCAUGCACCAAGCCCAGAAUUAAAAUUUUAUGUCAGGCUGCUAGUAAAUCAGGCUCUACUCUGUCCAAUAGCAAGUUGGAUAGCACCUGUAGUUAAUUGCACGUACAUAUGGGUUUUGGUUCAUUUUGUACGUAUGUUUGUUUGUUCAUGCUUACGACUUUGGCUAAAACACGUUGGAUGCCCAAUUCCUAUGGUGAACCUUUUGGUUCAAGCAAGCAAACUCAUGUUCCCUUUCUAUGACUGAAGCCAAGUUGUACCUACUACUGGCAUAAUACGAUGGAUUCAUUCUUUGUUUGUGGUCAACUCUUGUCUGUCUACUAGCAUUCGUGCGAGAACCUGAAUGUUGUGUAGGCUGCUAUGUUGUACUACCAGUAAACUAGUUUGUACUCUCUCCAACUGCAGGUUGGAUAGCCUUGCAAUUAAUUGUACAGACAUGCAUAUGAUUUUUGGUUCAAUUUGUAUGUAUAUAUAUGCUUAAGACUUUGACUAAAACUAGUUGGAUGUUCAGUUCCCCAUGAAGGUGACCAAUCCCUAGCAGUGCCCAUUGGUCCUUCCUGAUAUUUCACCUCAUGUGAUUUUAAUCUUUGUUUCUUGCUUUCCACAGCGACCAAGUUCUCUUAACAGCGGGACAUCUGAGUUCGUCAUGGUGAUGGAAGCUGACACGGAGCCGCUCGAAAUCUCCUCGACCUCCCAUCAUGUUUCUUGCGGACGGCAAGGUAGAAAUUCUGUCCAUAUACAUCAUACUAAUGCUAAUUAAUUUAUAUGUUGUAGCUUGCGCGAUAUGGUCAUAACAGUAACUGUUAAGCUCAUAAUUCUGUAUGUUGUCUUCAAGUUUUCUCUAAUAUAGAUUUCUCAAAUCUCUCUCUGAACUUCUCUAAUAAAAAAUGGUGUUAACUGUUAAAGCUCUUCGUGGUGACAUGUUUCUGUUACCAAUACAAUAAUAUAUUUGCACUCAAGGACUGUUUGAGUGAUAGGCUGUUCAUACUAUUAGAGAAGUGAACUGAUUAAGAUAUUGCUUUCCCCAACAACAAAAAAUAAACACGGCAGUUGAACAAUGUGUAUCCCUUCACUUGGAAGCCUAUGAAACUUUCUGUAGCAGCAGUGCAACACACUUUAUAUAUAUGUAUGAGGCUGGGUAGUUCAAAUCUACUUUACUUCCUAACUCAUUCAUAUAUAUCAUGGAAAUUGUGCAGGUUCCAUGGUCCCAAGUGGCCUUUGGCCAUCUUGAACUGGGACUCCAGUAACAAGUAGAUGUUGCUGCCACACUCAAUAUUUUAAGUUGUUUUCUUUUUUCUUUUUGGAGAGAUGUUAAUAACCUGAGAACACUUGCCUCCUCUGUUGGAAAUAUGCCCUAGAGGCAAUAAUAAAUUGAUUAUUAUUAUAUUUCCUUGUUCAUGAUAAUCGUUUAUUAUCCAUGCUAGAAUUGUAUUGAUAGGAAACUCAGAUACAUGUGUGGAUACAUAGACAACACCAUGUCCCUAGUAAGCCUCUAGUUGACUAGCUCGUUAAUCAAUAGAUGGUUACGGUUUCCUGACCAUGGACAUUGGAUGUCGUUGAUAACGGGAUCACAUCAUUAGGAGAAUGAUGUGAUGGACAAGACCCAAUCCUAAGCCUAGCACAAGAUCAUGUAGUUCGUAUGCUAAAGCUUUUCUAAUGUCAAGUAUCAUUUCCUUAGACCAUGAGAUUGUGCAACUCCCGGAUACCGUAGGAGUGCUUUGGGUGUGCCAAACGUCACAACGUAACUGGGUGGCUAUAAAGGUACACUACGGGUAUCUCUGAAAGUGUCUGUUGGGUUGGCACGAAUCGAGAUUGGGAUUUAUCACUCCGUGUAAACGGAGAGGUAUCUCUGGGCCCACUCGGUAGGACAUCAUCAUAAUGUGCACAAUGUGACCAAGGGGUUGAUCACGGGAUGAUGUGUUACGGAACGAGUAAAGAGACUUGCCGAUAACGAGAUUGAACAAGGUAUCGGUAUACCGACGAUCGAAUCUCGGGCAAGUACCAUACCGCUAGACAAAGGGAAUUGUAUACGGGAUCGAUUGAGUCCUUGACAUCGUGGUUCAUCCGAUGAGAUCAUCGUGGAACAUGUGGGAGCCAACAUGGGUAUCCAGAUCCCGCUGUUGGUUAUUGAUCGGAGAACAUCUCGGUCAUGUCUGCAUGUCUCCCGAACCCGUAGGGUCUACACACUUAAGGUUCGAUGAUGCUAGGGUUAUAAAGGAAGCUUGUAUGUGGUUACCGAAUGUUGUUCGGAGUCCCGGAUGAGAUCCCGGACGUCACGAGGAGUUCCGGAAUGGUCCGGAGGUAAAGAUUUAUAUAUAGGAAGUCCUGUUUCGGCCAUCGGGACAAGUUUCGGGGUCAUCGGUAUUGUACCGGGACCACCGGAAGGGUCCCGGGGGCCCACCGGGUGGGGCCACCUGCCCCGGGGGGCCACAUGGGCUGUAGGGGGUGCGCCUUGGCCUACAUGGGCCAAGGGCACCAGCCCCAAGAGGCCCAUGCGCCUAGGGAACCCUAGAGGGAAGAGUCCUCAAAGGGGAAGGCACCUCCGAGGUGCCUUGGGGAGGAUGGACUCCUCCCCCCCUCUUAGCCGCACCCCUUCCUUGGAGGAAGGGGCAAGGCUGCGCCUCCCCCCUCUCCCCUGCCCCUAUAUAUAGUGGAGGGGAGGGAGGGCAUCCAUACCUGAGCCCUUGGCGCCUCCCUCCCUCCCGUGACACCUCCUCCUCUCCCGUAGGUGCUUGGCGAAGCCCUGCAGGAUUGCCACACUCCUCCAUCACCACCACGCCGUUGUGCUGCUGCUGGAUGGAGUCUUCCUCAACCUCUCCCUCUCUCCUUGCUGGAUCAAGGCGUGGGAGACAUCGUCGAGCUGUAUGUGUGUUGAACGCGGAGGUGCCGUCCGUUCGGCACUAGGAUCAUCGGUGAUCUGAAUCACGACGAGUACGACUCCAUCAACCCCGUUCACUUGAACGCUUCCGCUUAGCGAUCUACAAGGGUAUGUAGAUGCACUCUCCUUCCCCUCGUUGCUGGUCUCUCCAUAGAUAGAUCUUGGUGACACGUAGGAAAAUUUUGAAUUUCUGCUACGUUCCCCAACAGUGGCAUCAUGAGCUAGGUCUAUUGCGUAGAUUCUUUGCACGAGUAGAACACAAAGUAGUUGUGGGCGUCGAUAUUGUUCAAUAUGCUUGCCGUUACUAGUCUUAUCUUGAUUCGGCGGCAUCGUGGGAUGAAGCGGCCCGGACCAACCUUACACGUACGCUUACGUGAGACCGGUUCCACCGACAAACAUGCACUAGUUGCAUAAGGUGGCUGGCGGGUGUCUGUCUCUCCCACUUUAGUCGGAUCGGAUUCGAUGAAAAGGGUCCUUAUGAAGGGUAAAUAGAAAUUGGCAUAUCACGUUGUGGUUCAUGCGUAGGUAAGAAACGUUCUUGCUAGAAACCCAUAGCAGCCACGUAAAACAUGCAAACAACAAUUAGAGGACGUCUAACUUGUUUUUGCAGGGUAUGCUAUGUGAUGUGAUAUGGCCAAAGAGGAUGUGAUGAAUGAUAUAUGUGAUGUAUGAGAUUGAUCAUGUUCUUGUAAUAGGAAUCACGACUUGCAUGUCGAUGAGUAUGACAACCGGCAGGAGCCAUAGGAGUUGUCUUUAUUUAUUUGUGACCUGCGUGUCAACUUAAACGUCAUGUAAUUACUUUACUUUAUUGCUAACCGUUAGCCAUAGUAGUAGAAGUAAUAGUUGGCGAGGCAACUUCAUGAAGACAUGAUGAUGGAGAUCAUGAUGAUGGAGAUCAUGGUGUCAUGCCGGUGACGAUGAUGAUCAUGGAGCCCCGAAGAUGGAGAUCAAAAGGAGCAAAGUGAUGAUGGCCAUAUCAUGUCACUAUUUGAUUGCAUGUGAUGUUUAUCAUGUUUAUACAUCUUAUUUGCUUAGAACGACGGUAGUAAAUAAGAUGAUCCCUUACAACAAUUUCAAGAAGUGUUCUCCCCUAACUGUGCACCGUUGCGACAGUUCGUGUUUCGAAGCACCACGUGAUGAUCGGGUGUUAGAUUCUAACGUUCACAUACAACGGGUGUAAGACAGAUUUACACAUGCGAAACACUUAGGGUUAACUUGACGAGCCUAGCAUGUACAGACAUGGCCUCGGAACACGGAUACCGAAAGGUCGAACAUGAGUCGUAUAGAAGAUACGAUCAACAUGAAGAUGUUCACCGAUGAUGACUAGUCCGUCUCACGUGAUGAUCGGACACGGCCUAGUUUGACUCGGAUCAUGUAAUCACUUAGAUGACUAGAGGGAUGUCUAUCUGAGUGGGAGUUCAUAAGAUGAACUUAAUUAUCCUGAACAUAGUCAAAAGGUUUUUGCAAAUUAUGUCGUAGCUCACGCUAUAGUUCUACUGUUUAGAUAUGUUCCUAGAGAAAAAUUAGUUGAAAGUUGAUAGUAGCAAUUAUGCGGACUAGGUCCGUAAACUGAGGAUUGUCCUCAUUGCUUCAUAGAAGGCUUAUGUCCUUAAUGCACCGCUCAGUGUGCUGAACCCGAAACGUCGUUUGUGGAUGUUGCGAACAUCGGACAUACACGUUUUGAUAACUACGUGAUAGUUCAGUUAAACGGUUUAGAGUUGAGGCACUAAAGACGUUUUCGAAACAUCACGGAACAUAUGAGAUGUUUCGAGGGCUAAAAUUGGGAUUUCAGGCUCGUGCUCACGUCAAGAGGUAUAAGACCUCCGAUGAUUUUCUUAACCUGCAAACUAAGGAGAAAAGCUCAAUUGUUGAGCUUGUGCUCAGAUUGUCUGAGUACAACAAUCAUUUGAAUCGAGUGGGAGUUGAUCUUCCAGAUAAGACAGUGAUGGUUCUCCAAAGUCAUUGCCACCAAGCUGUUAGAGCUUCGUGAUGAACUAUGACAUAUCAGGGAUAGAUAUGAUGAUCCUUGAGGUAUUCGCGAUGUUUGACACCGCGAAAGUAGAAAUCAAGAAGGAGCAUCAAUUGUUGAUGGUUGGUGAAACCACUAGUUUCAAGAAGGGCAAGGGCAAGAAGGGAUACUUCAUGAAACGGCAAAUCAGCUGCUGCUCUAGUGAAGAAACCCAAGGUAAAACCCAAACCCGAGACUAAGUGCUUCUGUAAUAAGGGGAACAAUCACUAGAGCAGAAUUACCCUAGAUACUUGGUAGAUAAGAAGGCUGGCAAGGUCGAUAGAAGUAUAUUGGAUAUACAUUAUGUUAAUGUGUACUUUACUAGUACUCCUAGUAGCACCAGGGUAUUAGAUACAGGUUCAGUUGCUAAGUGUUAGUAACUCGAAACAAAAGGCUACGGAAUAAACGGAGACUAGCUAAAGGUGAGCUGACGAUAUGUGUUGGAAGUUUUUUCCAAGCUUGAUAUGAUCAAGCAUCGCACGCUCCCUCUACCAAAGAGAUUGGUGUUAAACCUAAAUAAUUGUUAUUUGGUGUUUGCGUUGAGCAUAGACAUGAUUGGAUUACGUCUAUCGCAAUACGGUUAUUCAUUUAAGGAGAAUAAUGGUUACUCUGUUUAUUUGAAUAAUACCUUCAAUGGUCUUACACCUAAAAUGAAUGGUUUAUUAAAUCUCGAUCGUAGUAAUACACAUGUUCAUGCCAAAAGAUAGUAAUGAUAGUACCACCUACUUGUGGCACUGCCACGUAAGUCAUAUCGGUAUAAAACGCAUGAAGAAGCUCCAUAUUGAUGGAUCUUUGGGCUCACUCGUUUUGAAAAGUUUGAGACAUGCGAACCAUGUCUAUUGGUGUAUAUGCAUGAAGAAACUCCAUGCAAAUGGACCGUUUUGACUCACUUGAUUUUGAAUCACUUGGGACAUGCAAAUCAUACCACAUGGGCAAGAUGACUGAAAAGCCUCGUUUUCAGUAAGAUGGAACAAGAUAGCAACUUGUUGGAAGUAACACAUUUUGAUGUGUGUAGUCCAAUGAGUGCUGAGGCAUGCAGUGAAUAUUGUUAUGUUCUUACUUCACAGAUAAUUUGAGUGGAUGUUGAGUACAUUUACUUGAUGAAUCAUGAGUCUGAAUUAUUGAAAGGUUCAAGUAAUUUCAGGGUGAAGUUGAAAGAUCGUCGUGACAAGAGGAUAAAAUAUCUAUGAUAUGAUCAUAGAGAUGAAUAUCUGAAUUACGAGUUUGGCACAGAAUUAAGACAUUGUAGAAAUAGUUUCACAACUAAUACAGCCUGGAACACCAUAGUGUGAUGGUGUGUCCGAACAUCAUAACUGCACCCUAUUGGAUAUGAUGCAUACCAUGAUGUCUCUUAUCGAAUUACCACGAUAGUUUAUGGGUUAGGCAUUAGAGACAACCACAUUCACUUUAAAUAGGGCACCACGUAAUUCCGUUGAGAUGACAUCGUAUGAAUUAUGGUUUAGAGAAACCUAAGUUGUCGUUUCUUAAAGGUUUGGGGCUGCGACGCUUAUGUGAAAAAGUUUCAGGUUGAUAAGCUCGAACCCAAAGCAGAUAAAAUGCAUCUUCAUAGGACACCCAAAAACAGUUGGGUAUACCUCCUAAUUCAGAUCCGAAAGCAAUAGGGAUUGUUUCUUGAAUCGGGUCCUUUUUCGAGGAAAGGUUUCUCUCAAAAGAGUUGAGUAGGAGGAUGGUGGAGACUUGAUGAGGUUAUUGAACCAUCACUUCAACAAGUGUGUAGCAGGGCACAGGAAGUUGUUCCUGUGGCACGUACACCAACUGAAGUGGAAGCUUAUGAUAGUGAUCAUGAAACUUCGGAUCAAGUCACUACCAAACCUCGUGGGAUGACAAGGAUGCGUACUACUUCAGAGUGGUACGUAAUCCUGUCUUGGAAGUCAUGUUGCUAGACAACAAUGAACCUACGAGCUAUGGAGAAGCGAUAGUGGGCCCGGAUUCCGAUAAAUGGCUCAAGGCCAUAAAACCCGAGAGAGGAUCCAUGUAUGAAAACAAAGUGUAGACUUUGGAAGAACUACUUGAUGGUCGUAAGGCUGUUAGGUACAUAUGGAUUUUGAAAGGAAGACAGACAAUGAUGGUAAGUGUCACCAUUAAGAAAGCUCGACUUGUCGUUAAGAUAUUUUCCGACAAGUUCAAGGAGUUGAUUACGGUGAGGUUUUCUCACUCGUAGCGAUGCUAAGAGUCUGUUGGAAUUGGAUUAGCAGUUACUGCAUGAUUGAUGAAAUCUUGCAGAUAGGAUGUCAAAACAUUGUUUCCUCGAUGUUAUACUUGAGGAAAGGUUGUAUGUGAUACAACCGGAAGGUUUUGUCAAUCCCAAAAGAUGCUAAUAAGUAUGCAAAGCUCCAGCAAUCCUUCUAAGGACUGGAGUGAGCAUCUCGGAGUUGGAAUGUAUGCUUUGAUGAUGAUCAAAGAUUUUGGGUUUGUACAAAGUUUAUGAGAAACUUGUAUUUCCAAAGAAGUGAGUGGGAGCACUAUAGAAUUUCUGAUGAGUAUAUGUUGUUGACAUAUUAAUGAUCAGAAAUGACGUAGAAUUUCUGGAAAGCAUACAGGGUUAUUUGGAAAGUGUUUUCAAUGGAAAACCUGGAUUAAGCUACUUGAACAUUGAGCAUCAAGAUCUAUAAGGAUAGAUCAAAACACUUAAUAGUACUUUCAAAUGAGCACAUGCCUUGACAUGAUCUUGAAGGUGUUCAAGAUGGAUCAGUCAAAGAAGGAGUUCUUGCCUGAGUUGUAAGGUAUGAAGUUAAGACUUAAAGCUCGACCAUGGCAGAAUAGAGAGAAAGGAACGAAGGUCGUCCCCUAUGCUUAAGACAUAGGCUCUACAGUAUGCUAUGCUAUGUACCGCACCUGAAGUGUGCUUUACCAUGAGUCAGUCAAGGGGUACAAGAGUGAUCCAAGAAUGGAUCACAGGACAUCGGUCAAAGUUAUCCUUAGUAACUAGUGGACUAAGGAAUUUUCUCAAUUAUGGAGGUGGUAAAAGAGUUCAUCGUAAAGGGUUACGUCGAUGCAAGCUUAAUACCUAUCCGGAUAGCUCUGAGUAGAGAUACCGGAUACGUAUAAUGGAGCAACAAUUUAGAAUAGCUCCAAGUAGAACAGUUAUUUGGAAUAGCUCCAAAUAGAACGUGGUAGCUGCAUCUAGGAGAUGACAUAGAGAUUUGUAAAGCACACACGGAUCUGAAAGGUUCAGACCCGUUGACUAUAACCUCUCUCACAAGCAUAACAUGAUCAAACCCAGAACUCAUCGAGUGUUAAUCACAUGGUAAAUGUGAACUAGAUUAUUGACUCUAGUAAACUCUUUGGGUGUUAGUCACAUGGGGAUGUGACCUUGAGUGUUAAUCACAUAUCGAUGUGAACUAGAUUAUUGACUCUAGUGCAAGUGGGAGACUGUUGGAAAUAUGCCCUAGAGGCAAUAAUAAAUUGAUUAUUAUUAUAUUUCCUUGUUCAUGAUAAUCGUUUAUUAUCCAUGCUAGAAUUGUAUUGAUAGGAAACUCAGAUACAUGUGUGGAUACAUAGACAACACCAUGUCCCUAGUAAGCCUCUAGUUGACUAGCUCGUUAAUAAAUAGAUGGUUACGGUUUCCUGACCAUGGACAUUGGAUGUCGUUGAUAACGGGAUCACAUCAUUAGGAGAAUGAUGUGAUGGACAAGACCCAAUCCUAAGCCUAGCACAAGAUCAUGUAGUUCGUAUGCUAAAGCUUUUCUAAUGUCAAGUAUCAUUUCCUUAGACCAUGAGAUUGUGCAACUCCCGGAUACCGUAGGAGUGCUUUGGGUGUGCCAAACGUCAAAACGUAACUGGGUGGCUAUAAAGGUACACUACGGGUAUCUCUGAAAGUGUCUGUUGGGUUGGCACGAAUCGAGAUUGGGAUUUGUCACUCCGUGUAAACGGAGAGGUAUCUCUGGGCCCACUCGGUAGGACAUCAUCAUAAUGUGCACAAUGUGACCAAGGGGUUGAUCACGGGAUGAUGUGUUACGGAACGAGUAAAGAGACUUGCCGGUAACGAGAUUGAACAAGGUAUCGGUAUACCGACGAUCGAAUCUCGGGCAAGUACCAUACCGCUAGACAAAGGGAAUUGUAUACAGGAUCGAUUGAGUCCUUGACAUCGUGGUUCAUCCGAUGAGAUCAUCGUGGAACAUGUGGGAGCCAACAUGGGUAUCCAGAUCCCACUGUUGGUUAUUGACCGGAGAACAUCUCGGUCAUGUCUGCAUGUCUCCCGAACCCGUAGGGUCUACACACUUAAGGUUCGAUGACGCUAGGGUUAUAAAGGAAGCUUGUAUGUGGUUACCGAAUGUUGUUCGGAGUCCCGGAUGAGAUCCCGGACGUCACGAGGAGUUCCAGAAUGGUCCGGAGGUAAAGAUUUAUAUAUAGGAAGUCCUGUUUCGGCCAUCGGGACAAGUUUCGGGGUCAUCGGUAUUGUACCGGGACCACCGGAAGGGUCCCGGGGGCCCACCGGGUGGGGCCACCUGCCCCGGGGGGGCCACAUGGGCUGUAGGGGGUGCGCCUUGGCCUACAUGGGCCAAGGGCACCAGCCCCAAGAGGCCCAUGCGCCUAGGGAACCCUAGAGGGAAGAGUCCUCAAAGGGGAAGGCACCUCCGAGGUGCCUUGGGGAGGAUGGACUCCUCCCCCCCUCUUAGCCGCACCCCUUCCUUGGAGGAAGGGGCAAGGCUGCGCCUCCCCCCUCUCCCCUGCCCCUAUAUAUAGUGGAGGGGAGGGAGGGCAUCCAUACCUGAGCCCUUGGCGCCUCCCUCCCUCCCGUGACACCUCCUCCUCUCCCGUAGGUGCUUGGCGAAGCCCUGCAGGAUUGCCACACUCCUCCAUCACCACCACGCCGUUGUGCUGCUGCUGGAUGGAGUCUUCCUCAACCUCUCCCUCUCUCCUUGCUGGAUCAAGGCGUGGGAGACAUCGUCGAGCUGUACGUGUGUUGAACGCGGAGGUGUCGUCCGUUCGGCACUAGGAUCAUCAGUGAUCUGAAUCACGACGAGUACGACUCCAUCAACCCCGUUCACUUGAACGCUUCCACUUAGCGAUCUACAAGGGUAUGUAGAUGCACUCUCCUUCCCCUCGUUGCUGGUCUCUCCAUAGAUAGAUCUUGGUGACACGUAGGAAAAUUUUGAAUUUCUGCUACGUUCCCCAACAUCCUCCCCAACCCUCGCCCCAGCCUGCCGGUGCUGGCUUGCUGCGUGGCUGUCGCCGCAACAGAUAAUUAGAUUUUUGGGACUCUGUUUCUAUGCUCUGCUCGAUAGCAUUUUGCAUAUUGAUUGGACAUGCUUUAUAUAAAACGAUUUAUCUUGUACAUUGCUCUGCCUAACUUGUAGGAGUAUACAUGAAACCAUACUUGUCAAAUAUCGAUACUUGUCAAAUAUCAAGUAUCACAGCUGAAUAAUAACGUCUUGUUUUCUGUUCACUGAAUCAAAAUUCUUCUCUCUUUUUAUGAUCAGUCCAUCUUACAGCCAUCAAUAAGAAAAACACUUAUCUUCAUAUUAGGAUUAUUAUUUUCUUGUCUGCAGUAUUAUAAUGUACAUAUGCUUUUCUGUUCACUGAAUCACAAUUCUUCACUCUUUUUACCAUCAAUCCAUCUUCUUACAGUUGCAUGUUUUUUUUGGCUGUCCAGAUGACCAAGCCCAAGGAGGAAGCAGUUGCUCAUCACUGAGGACAAGUAACUCCAGCAGGUUGACGCCGUAGAUUCAUAGUGUACCUUCUAUAUGCCCAUCCAGUUCUGUGAUUUGUGUCUUGAAACCCAAAAACCCCAUGCCCAUGUGGGAGCUGAACCAUAGUUUUUUGCUUGUGGAAAAUAAUAUCCUUGGCUGAAUCGACUUGAGGUGGUUUCUUCAAAAUUCUUGAAAAUGAUUUGGUAGUUUAUUUUGGCGAGGAAUUGUUUCAUACUGAAGUUUACUGGUACAUGUGUGGUUUGCUACUAUUGCUUCGUUUGGGUUGGGUUGGUUCCAGCGGGGAGAUGUGCAUGCACACUGGCAGCAUGAGCUAGCAGCCAUGAUUGCCAGCCAGUCACCACCAUGUAAAUGUAAUAAAUGUGUGGCCUAUCUAGUGUGCUGCUGAUAGAAAUAUAGAUGUGGCCUAUCUAGUGGGUUGCUGAUAAUAUGUUUUUACCUCACUUGGCAGGCACCAUAAUCUGUUUUUUCCUCACUGUACUGUAGGAAUAAAUGUGUGGCCUAUCUAGUGUGCUGCUGAUAGAAAUAUAGAUGGAAGAUUUGUUGACCAGUUAAAUUGAGCUUAUUGUCAAUUCUGCUUAUAAGCUAUGUUUGAUGCUGCCUACAGGUUCUUAUUCUUUUUUUUGCAUAGGUGAAGUAUGAAGUGUGAAGCCGUGAAGCCUAUCAGCAAGAGUAGCAUAUUAUGUAUUGUAAUAUCACGCAAAGUGUAAUAUUGGUCAGAGUAGCAUAUUAUGUAUUGUAAUAUUUAGUGUUGUUUUGGAUGAAUUUUAUUUGCUCUAUAAUCUGUUUGAAAUAUUGAUUGUGUAUAUAAUUUCAAUACCUAUGAAAUGGAAACCUGACCAGGGGGACCCACUUAUGAAAAUUGGUUGACAAAUUUUGAAAUUUCUGAUGUGUGGGUCCAAUUGUGAUAUCAGCAUGACAAGUGGGACCAAUAUGACCAGUGGGACCAGCGCAAAAAUAAU
RNAcentral lists this long non-coding RNA (11697 nucleotides) under Triticum aestivum (bread wheat). RNAcentral's name for it is "long non-coding RNA (TAES_LNC025272)". The record is from RNAcentral. Lineage: Eukaryota; Viridiplantae; Streptophyta; Magnoliopsida; Poales; Poaceae.